UGGGCAGUGUGUGGGAGUUUGUAAUGACCGCUGGACUGAUUGUCCAUGGUCCGUUAGCUUUCGCGGAAAUCGGUAGGUCGAUUUCGGUGCGUUUUUCGGCGAAAUUCGCCGAAAGAACGCGGUUUCGGUUCGGAUUCUUUCCGACGGUGUUUGGUUGCUUCGUGUUUUGUCGCUGAGCCUUGUUGGCUGGUCACCAUCAUCAUUUUGUGGGUUCGAUGAUGAUGGGUGAGCGACGGUGGGUUCCGGUGUCGAAAUAGACACUUCCGGGAACCCGGAUUCGUACGAUUAUCCGGCGAUGAUCGUAUGGUUGUGUUACCUCGUGUUCACUGCCAAGGCAUCCAAAUUGGAGUGCUUUGGGGCAGCGGGUGACUCGUGGCACGAGUCGGUGAGUUCGGGACACUUAGUGGGUCCCGACGACGUCCCGGUGUGGUUUUCGGGACUUCCGGUGAGUUACGGUAAUCGGUUUUGGGAAACCGAUUACGGGGAUCCUGUGUGGGGGUUUGUGAGUCUCGUGCUUUGGGUUAGUGGUUUGGAUUCUGACUUGCUGGAUCUUCUUAGGUCCGGUAGACUCUGUGCGUACCCAGCGUUCCGACGCGACAGUGACAGGUGGGUACUUCGAUCCGACGUCGGUACAGUGGUGCACGCUUGGUGAUGGUUUCUUACCCUUACUCUUCUGUUGUUACUAUCGCAUAAUAUAUUGAGCCUUGCACCCUUGUUUAUUCAUUAUACUCUACUCGUUGUUUGCAUACUUAGUAUCCUGAGUAGGAGUAGAGUUGUUCUAUCUUCAUGCGUAUCUGUAGACCUAGUUGGUCGGUUGUUGCAUUCAGUACCUGUUGACCUAGUUGGUCUGUUGUUGCGUUUAGUAUCUGUUGACCUAGUUGGUCGGUUAUUGCAUUCCGUGUCUGUUGACCUGAUUGCCGUAACUCACCGGAAGUCCCGAAAACCACACCGGGACGCCGUCGGGACCCAUUAAGUGUCCCAAAACCUACCGACUCGUGCCACGAGUCACCCGCUGCCACAAAACACUCCGAUUUGGAUGUCUUGGCAGUGAACACGAGGUAACUCCACUACACAAUUAUCGUCGGAUAAUUAUUCGGAUCCGGAUUUCCAGAAGUGUCAAUUUCGAAACCGGAACCCACCGUCGCUCACUCAUCAUUUCUGAACUCUCGAAAUGACGCGAGUGACCAGCCAACAAGGCUCAGCGACUACACUAUAGCUCACGAAGCACCGUCGGAAUAAUUCUGAACCGAACCCGCGUUCCGUCGGCGGAUUUCGCCGAGAAACGCAUCGGAAAUUACUUUACGAUCUCCGCAAGGGCUUGGGACCUUGGACAAUCAGUCCAGAGGUCACCACACACACUUAUACACUGCCCACAUUAGCCACAAGGCGCACAAUUGCACAAAAGUCCCUAUGUUUACAUAAAAUCCAGCAUUUUAUGUAAAUCGGGCGACUCCUAUGACUCGUUCUCACAAACUGAGGACUUCUAAGUUCCGCCAAGACACAUACUGACAGGUCUCGAUGUGCCGGAGGCCGUGCUCAAGGUCUGGAGCGCAACAGGUCACAGUGGGAAGCGCGGGAGUAACCCGAAGUUCUGCGAACAGCGCGCAGUCGGGGAAGAUCGCGCCAAACAGGGCUAACCGGACACUGUUGAUCCAAAGUGAGGUGAGCACUGUGAUCAGCACUGACCAACGAUCACCGUGCUCACCUCCGGAGGCAUCAGGACAGCCUCGGAUCGCCGGAUAAGCGUGCGCAAACCCAAAACAGCGGCCAAACAGGCUCUAUAGGGUCGACACCGCCGAAACAGCGGAACGGAGUCUCCCCGGCAGAAACUAAGGUGAGCACGAUGAUCAGAAAUUUGCUACGGUCAUCGUGCUCCCUUCCGUAGAGAUCGGGGAGGCUCAGGAAGCUCAGAACAAUAAACCAUCCAAACUAAGCCCUAUUUCGGGCUUGGCCGGAGCAAGCUUGCUCCGGCCGGCUUCCGGCGGCACGGCGGCGCGCGCGGGAGCCAGGGAUGGGUGCGGGGGAGGUGAGGAGUACCGUGCUCACCUCGGUUGACGGCGGGGUGCGGCGGCGGCGUCGGCGGAGCAAGCUAAGUCCGCACGAGAUCGGGCUCGGGUUCCAAGUGUAGCGGCGGCCACGGCGGCCGGCGGGAAGCUCCGGGACGGCGGCGGAGGGUUGAUGGAGGCCGGAGAAGGGUAGCUAGGCCGUCGUUGGGCGGCGGCUGCGCGCGGGGCUGAAGCGGGCCAAAGUUCGGCCAAACUGAAGCAGGGCGGCCGCAGGGCGGUUGCAGCGCGACGGCGGCGUUCGGCGACGGCGGCGGGCGGCGGGGAAGGACGCCGGGGCUCUGGAAAGUCGGCCGGGGUGGUCACGAUGGCGGCGGUGCAGAGAAAAGGGCCGCAGGCUUGCCUCGGCCUGGGCUCGGGCUGGGGCGGCUGCUGCUGGCUGGAGCGGCUGCGGCGGCGCUCCGGGCGGCUCGGGGCGGCAGCGGCUGUGUGCCUGAGGUCGAGGGAGGGUGGAGGCGGCCGAGGGAGGAGGUUUUGAGUCCUCCCCUUGCUCGGGUCCAAGCCGCUGGAGAAGGAAGGUGGGAACAAGAGAGGGAAAGGAAAGAAAAGGGCUGGGGUGGUGGUGCCUGGCCGGAGAUCAGUCGGCGGCGGCCGGGAGUCGUGCGGCUAGGUCAGAGGGAGGCAAGAACGUGGCUGGGGUGCGGUUAGGGUUAACUAGGGAUGAUCUAGGGCUCGGAUCUCAAGAAAACCCUAGAAAACAAUAUAAGUAAGGCGCAAAAUUGCAAGAAAGUCCACCUAGACUUACUAUUUCAAGCUAAAUCCUUCCCAGCCUGAGUAAAAUGCGUG
Molecule: long non-coding RNA, 2849 nt
Filed under: Ananas comosus (pineapple)
Lineage: Eukaryota; Viridiplantae; Streptophyta; Magnoliopsida; Poales; Bromeliaceae
Description: long non-coding RNA (ACOM_LNC044135)
Source: RNAcentral